This 325-nucleotide unclassified non-coding RNA is filed under the name uncultured fungus. Its description in RNAcentral is "sequence contains ITS1". The stretch from base 1 to 105 matches the Rfam family "5.8S ribosomal RNA", at positions 50 to 154 of the family's 154-position model. The record is from RNAcentral. Lineage: Eukaryota; Fungi.
AAAUUGCGAUAACUAAUGUGAAUUGCAUUGCUUGUGAAUCAUUGAGUAUUCGAACGCAGCUUGCACUCUGGCCAUUACAGCCAGAGUAUACCUGUUUGAGCGUUGGUAAGACCCAUAAAAUUGCACCUGGUGUGAUUUUGUAGUGGGCCUGUACUCUGUACUUGUGUGUGUAACGCGCGCGAGCAGGAGAGGCCUUAAAUGGAGUUCAAGGUGUGCGGGUGGAAUGAAAGGUGAAUUCUCUGUAAAAGGAGGGGCCCUUUACACCCAACACUAACAACCAAACAACAACAACCUCAAAUCAGGUAGGACUACCCGCUGAACUUAA